RNAcentral lists this unclassified non-coding RNA (22 nucleotides) under Dictyostelium discoideum. The record is from RNAcentral. Lineage: Eukaryota; Evosea; Eumycetozoa; Dictyosteliales; Dictyosteliaceae.
AUCCUGUUUUGGGUGUUAGGAU